This 257-nucleotide ribosomal RNA is filed under the name Limnobacter sp. RNAcentral's name for it is "partial 23S ribosomal RNA". It matches the Rfam family "Bacterial large subunit ribosomal RNA", at positions 2680 to 2925 of the family's 2925-position model. Lineage: Bacteria; Pseudomonadati; Pseudomonadota; Betaproteobacteria; Burkholderiales; Burkholderiaceae. The record is from RNAcentral.
AGUACGAGAGGACCGGAGUGAACGUAUCUCUGGUGUUCCGGUUGUCACGCCAGUGGCAUUGCCGGGUAGCUAAAUACGGAAGAGAUAAACGCUGAAAGCAUCUAAGCGUGAAACUUGCCUUAAGAUAAGAUUUCCCUGAGGACUUGAUCCUCCUGAAGGGCCGUUGAAGACCACGACGUUGAUAGGCUGGGUGUGGAAGUGCAGUAAUGCAUUAAGCUAACCAGUACUAAUUGCCCGUGCGGCUUGGCUCUAUAGCA